RNAcentral lists this ribosomal RNA (448 nucleotides) under uncultured bacterium. RNAcentral's name for it is "partial 16S ribosomal RNA". It matches the Rfam family "Bacterial small subunit ribosomal RNA", at positions 330 to 794 of the family's 1533-position model. The record is from RNAcentral.
UCCAGACUCCUACGGGAGGCAGCAGUGGGGGAUAUUGCACAAUGGGGGGAACCCUGAUGCAGCGACGCCGCGUGGGUGAAGGAGCGUUUCGGCGCGUAAAGCCCUCUCGGCAGGGAAGAAGGAGGACGGUACCUGACUAAGAAGCCCCGGCUAACUACGUGCCAGCAGCCGCGGUAAUACGUAGGGGGCAAGCGUUAUCCGGAUUUACUGGGUGUAAAGGGGGCGCAGACGGCAGCGCAAGCCAGGAGUGAAAGCCCGGGGCCCAACCCCGGGACUGCUCUUGGAACUGCGCGGCUGGAGUGCAGGAGGGGCAGGCGGAAUUCCUGGUGUAGCGGUGAAAUGCGUAGAUAUCAGGAGGAACACCGGUGGCGAAGGCGGCCUGCUGGACUGCGACUGACGUUGAGGCCCGAAAGCGUGGGGAGCAAACAGGAUUAGAUACCCGCGUAGG